GAUGAAGAACGCAGCGAAAUGCGAUAAGUAAUGUGAAUUGCAGAAUUCAGUGAAUCAUCGAAUCUUUGAACGCACAUUGCGCCCGCCAGUAUUCUGGCGGGUAUGCCUGUUCGAGCGUCAUUUCAACCAUCAAGCCCCCGGCUUGUGUUGGGGACCUGCGGCUGCCGCAGGCCCUGAAAAGCAGUGGCGGGCUCGCUGUCACACCGAGCGUAGUAGCAUACAUCUCGCUCUGGGCGUGCUGCGGGUUCCGGCCGUUAAACCACCUUCAUAACCCAAGGUUGACCUCGGAUCAGGUAGGAAGACCCGCUGAACUUAAGCAUAUCAAUAAGCGGAGGA
This 336-nucleotide unclassified non-coding RNA is filed under the name soil metagenome. Its description in RNAcentral is "partial contains 5.8S ribosomal RNA, internal transcribed spacer 2, and large subunit ribosomal RNA". The stretch from base 1 to 120 matches the Rfam family "5.8S ribosomal RNA", at positions 35 to 154 of the family's 154-position model. The record is from RNAcentral.